UCGGACUCAACGCCGGGAAACUCACCAGAUAAGACAGCUGAAUGAUAGUCGGGCUGAAGACUCUACUUGACUAGCUGAGAGGAGGUGCAUGGCCGUCGUCAGUUCGUACUGUGAAGCAUCCUGUUAAGUCAGGCAACGAGCGAGACCCACGCCAACAGUUGCCAGCUCGUCCUCUGGGAUGGUGGGGACACUGUUGGGACCGCCUCUGCUAAAGAGGAGGAAGGAAUGGGCAACGGUAGGUCAGCAUGCCCCGAAUUAUCUGGGCUACACGCGGGCUACAAUGGGUGGGACAAUGGGUAUCGACACCGAAAGGUGAAGGCAAUCUCCUAAACCCAUCCGUAGUUCGGAUUGUGGGCUGCAACUCGCCCACAUGAAGCUGGAAUCUGUAGUAAUCGUGUCUCAAAAUGGCACGGUGAAUAUGUCCCUGCUCCUU
This 433-nucleotide ribosomal RNA is filed under the name uncultured Methanomicrobiales archaeon. RNAcentral's name for it is "bacterial SSU rRNA". It matches the Rfam family "Archaeal small subunit ribosomal RNA", at positions 906 to 1338 of the family's 1478-position model. Lineage: Archaea; Methanobacteriati; Methanobacteriota; Methanomicrobia; Methanomicrobiales. The record is from RNAcentral.